UAUUUAGGCCCAUACCCUAUGUCACGGCAGC
RNAcentral lists this non-coding RNA (31 nucleotides) under Homo sapiens (human). Lineage: Eukaryota; Metazoa; Chordata; Mammalia; Primates; Hominidae. The record is from RNAcentral.